RNAcentral lists this ribosomal RNA (410 nucleotides) under uncultured bacterium. RNAcentral's name for it is "partial 16S ribosomal RNA". It matches the Rfam family "Bacterial small subunit ribosomal RNA", at positions 355 to 758 of the family's 1533-position model. The record is from RNAcentral.
UGGGGAAUAUUGCACAAUGGGCGCAAGCCUGAUGCAGCCAUGCCGCGUGUGUGAAGAAGGCCUUCGGUUGUAAAGCACUUUCAGCGAGGAGGAAGGUGGUGAGCUUAAUACGCUCAUCAAUUAACGUUACUCGCAGAAGAAGCACCGGCUAACUCCGUGCCAGCAGCCGCGGUAAUACGGAGGGUGCAAGCGUUAAUCGGAAUUACUGGGCGUAAAGCGCACGCAGGCGGUUUGUUAAGUCAGAUGUGAAAUCCCCGGGCUCAACCUGGGAACUGCAUUUGAAACUGGCAAGCUAGAGUCUCGUAGAGGGGGGUAGAAUUCCAGGUGUAGCGGUGAAAUGCGUAGAGAUCUGGAGGAAUACCGGUGGCGAAGGCGGCCCCCUGGACGAAGACUGACGCUCAGGUGCGAAA